Molecule: non-coding RNA, 38 nt
Filed under: fish gut metagenome
Description: Selenocysteine insertion sequence 4
Rfam family: Selenocysteine insertion sequence 4
Source: RNAcentral
GGAACUUGUACUCGUUGCGGAGCAACGAUAUUAAAAGA